Molecule: ribosomal RNA, 256 nt
Filed under: uncultured bacterium
Lineage: Bacteria
Description: partial 16S ribosomal RNA
Rfam family: Bacterial small subunit ribosomal RNA
Source: RNAcentral
AAUACAGAGGGGGCAAGCGUUAUUCGGAAUUAUUGGGCGUAAAGCGCACGUAGGCGGCGCCGCAAGUCAGGGGUGAAAUCCCGGAGCUCAACUCCGGAACUGCCUUUGAAACUGCAGUGCUAGAAUCCUGGAGAGGCGAGUGGAAUUCCGAGUGUAGAGGUGAAAUUCGUAGAUAUUCGGAAGAACACCAGUGGCGAAGGCGACUCGCUGGACAGGUAUUGACGCUGAGGUGCGAAAGCGUGGGGAGCAAACAGGA